Molecule: long non-coding RNA, 1650 nt
Filed under: Malus domestica (apple)
Lineage: Eukaryota; Viridiplantae; Streptophyta; Magnoliopsida; Rosales; Rosaceae
Description: long non-coding RNA (MDOM_LNC015371)
Source: RNAcentral
ACUGCUCCUCGUCCUCCUCGCCGUCGUCAUCGUCGAUGAAUUGCUUUCCGUUCCAGAAGAGCUACCAGCCUUUGGUGAAGGUAGAGGAGCACAAUUUCUUUAGCAGUGAGGAGGCCUGUAGCUUCUUCUCCGAUGAGCAAGCACCUUCACUUCAGUGGUACUGUCCUGAUCAGUGGAGCUAAAGCAUCAACAAUACAAUCCAUGAAAGUGGAGUUGUGUAUAAAUUAAUGUACUGUGAUCUCCGUUGUGCAAAAGUGGAAGUUGGAGAGCAACUGCAGGAUGAAGGCAAGGGAGAGGGGAGAGAGAGAGAGGAUAGAGACAGAGAGAGAGAGAGAGACAGACAGACAGACAGAAAGAGGAAACCAAGGUAUUUCCUUGCCAAACCGUGCGGGAAUAUGAUUGUGUCGUAAUUAAAAUUUCAGCUGUAAAAAUGAAUCCUCGGGAUAAAACUUUAGGAGAUUGAAUUUCCUGUAAUGGAGAAAAUAAUCAUUGUGCCUUACUUUUUCUCUUCCAUCCAUGCUCUUCGCUUUUUCAAUUUAAAAGUUCGGUGGACAACUUAUUUCUUUUGCCAUGGACCAUGGCACUGCCAUAAAAAAAAAGUGCUAUAGAUUUGUAUAAAUUAAAAUAUAUGGUGGAGAAGCGGCGAUGAUGCGAUGGUGGUGCUUUUGUAAUGAUAAUGGUGAGAGGGUAUGGUGGUUGUGCAAAUAUAUCGGGGUGUGGUGGUUGGGGGUGUAGAUGUAGUAAUGGUGGAAGGGUUGAUAUCAGCAACGGUGGCAACGGUUGUGGUGGGGGUUGCAACAAUGGUGGUUGUGAUUGCGGUGGUGAUGGUGGUGUAAGGUUAGUGGUUGCAAUGAGUAGGUGGUGGUCAUUUUGCGAGAGAAAAUAUGUGUGGGAAGGAUAUAAAAUGUCACUUUCAAAAACAAAUGAGUGUACUACAAAAAAAUAAAUAUUCAUUAGAACUCAGCUUCGCCUUUUAUGGAAGGGCAACAACUCACAAUGAAUCAAACAGAUAAUAGGUAAUUCUCAGUUUUCAAGUUCUUGGUUUUCAGUCAAGUUUUAUUUCUCAUACUCGUACCUAAAGUGAUAAUUUUGAAGCCCUUUCAUACAUCCGUAAACAGCCCUGCGCCUAGAAUUGGAGGGUGCGCUCCCAGUUCCGUAUCAAGUUCUGUAACUGGGUCGUCAAUGCCCGAUUCGCCAUUAUUAUGCAGAUUCCUCUGUCUCAUCUGUGUUUUGAGGACAGUGAUGCUUAGGUUUUAGGACAUGGUUCUGGGUUGCGGCUUUGGUGGCAAAUUUGGUUCCUGUUGUGGCUCCGCUGGUGGAUUCGGUAAAGCUGACGAGGCCGAAGAGUGUGAGGGCCUGAGGAUUGGAGGGUCUAGGUCACCAUCAGUAGGGUUUAGAGAGAUAAAUUGGGUGAUGAUUGCAAUUUUGAUUUUUGCAUAUUAAAACUGGGUGAUAAUUCUCAUGAAAAAAAAAAAACCUAAAACCCCUCCUCCCGCCUCCAAACCCAUCUCCGCCACCAUCGUCGUCGGCGACAAACCUUCCCGAAGCCCCUUUCCUACCUUGACGCCGUUGGAGCGGCGACGUACGUGUGGGCGGCGGGGCUGUGGUAGGGUUUCUAAGGAAGUCUGGGAUGCGUUUAUUAGGUGCGGG